GCCGGGAUAGCUCAGUGGGUAAACCAAAGGACUGAAAAUCCCCGUGUCCCCAUUUCAAAUA
RNAcentral lists this transfer RNA (61 nucleotides) under Acuston lunarioides. RNAcentral's name for it is "partial tRNA-Phe". Lineage: Eukaryota; Viridiplantae; Streptophyta; Magnoliopsida; Brassicales; Brassicaceae. The record is from RNAcentral.